CGGCGAGAGACUGAAAGAAAAGCAGCAAAGCCCUGGGUAAUCAAGGCCCUAAACGGAAAGUGUCAGGAUCUUGGGGGUCUCACUUUGUUGCCCAGGCUGGAAUGCAGUGGUAUGAACAUGGUUUACUGCAGCCUCGACCUCCUGCGCUCAAGCGAUCCUCCCACCUCAGCGCACAGAGUAGCAGGGACUACAGGCACAUGCCACCACGAGGUUUUGCCAUGUUGCCCAGACUGGUCUUGAACUCCCGGGCUCGAGCGGUCCUCUGGCCUCGGCCUCCCAAAGUGCUGGGAUUACAGGCGUGAGUCAGAAGUUCCCUAAUUCUGAUAUGUGUGGUCACUACGCAGUUCUGUGCUUUGCUUCCGAAGGACUGAUCGCCUUGAAGAACCAGAAUAUAAAGAGGUUACGUCGGGGGAACAUUACCAUUUAUUUAUUGGCUUACUCUGAAAGACAACUCCCAAGUUGUGGUGUUGCCACCAGUAUUAGAACACAGUGGUCUCCAAAAUCUUGCCAAUGAAUCCUCCAAGAUGGAGUCUCGCUUUGUCGCCCAGGCUGCAGUACAGUGGUGUGAUCUCAGCUCACUGCAAGCUCCACCUGCCGGGUUCACGCCAUUCUCCUGCCUCAGCGUCCCGACUAGCCGAGACUACAGGAGCCUGCCACCAUGCCCGGCUGAUUUCAUUUUUUUCUGAUCAGAUGUUCUGUCACUUAAGGGCACUUGAGAUGAUUAAAUAUGAAUGUGCAUAGUACAUGACCAGGUAUCCAAAAAGACUUCAAUAAACGUUGGUUCCUUCUAACUAAAAGGGCUGUAUAAACAUGCUAAGAUGUUAUAAUUUUAGGGGCAGUCUCCAGCAUUUCCUCCCGGGUAUUAUUACUUGCCACCUCCAAAGCAUUAGCUCUGAAGGCAUAACCUUUUCUUUUUUUUUUCUUCUGAAAGAGACAGGGUCUCUUUGCGUUGCUCAAGCUGGAGUGCAGUAGCUAUUCACAGGCAUGAUCAUCAAGCACCACAGCCCCAAACUCCUGGGCUCAAGUGAUCUUCCUACCUCAGCGUACCUGGUAGCUGGGACAACAGGGUCAUGCCACUGCACCUAGCUGGCAUAGAAAUUUUUUUUUUUGAGACACUGUCUCAUUCUGUUGCUCAGGCUGGAGUGCAGUGGCACAAUCACUGCUCACUGCAGCCUCAAUCUUUCGGGCUUAAGCAAUCCUCCCACCUCAGCCCCCUGAAUAGUGAGGACCACAGGCGUGCACCACUAUGCCCCGCUAAUUUUUGUAUUUUUUGUAGAGAUGGGUUUUGCCAUGUUGCCCAGCUGGUCUCAAACUCCUAGGCUCAAGCAGUCCACCCACCUCAGUCUCCUGAAGUGCUGGGAUUACAGGCACGAGCCACAGUGCUUGGCCAGCAUAGCCACUUUAAAAUGAAGUGUGGGUUAAGGAGUAAACUGGCAAGUUUGCCCCAAAUUCGAUUUCAUGAUGAUCUUGACAUCUACACAGUGGUGUCACUUAACAGGAGUAUGUUCUGAAAAACGCCUCGUUAGGCGACUUCAUCGUUGUGCAAAUAUCACAGGAUGUACUUACACAAGUACAUGGCAGAGCCUACUACACACCUAGGCUAUGUAGUAAAGCCUAUAUUCCUAGGCUACAAACACGUACAGCACGUUACCGUACUAACUACUGUAGGCAAUUUCAACAAAACUAAAUAUUUGCUAAACACAAAAGAUACAGUAAAAAUCACUGCUGUAUAUGCAGUUCUUGCUACACGUAAACUGUUUAGCUAAAUAACAUUAAUUCCAGAGAAGGCAAAGCUUACCAAAUACAAAUUCUACAUGGGAGAGUGAUAGAGAUAUAAGGCAGAAUAAAACAUGCAAAAUUGCGGUCAGGCACGGUGGCUCACACCUGUAAUCUCAGCACUUUGGGGGGCCAAGGUGGGCAGAUCACCUGAGGCCACGAGUUCAAGACCAGCCUGGCCAACAUGGUGAAACCCCAUCUCUACUAAAACUACAAAAAUUAGCCAUGCGUGGUAGAGGGCACCUGUAAUCCCAGCUACUCAGGAGGCUGAGGGAGGAGAAUCGUUUGAACCCGUGAGGUAGAGGGUGCAGUGAGCCGAGUUUGUGCCAUUGCACUCCAGCCUGGGCAACAAGAGUGAAACUCCGCCUCAAAAAAAAAAAAAAAAAAAAAAAGUAAACAUGCAAAAUUACCUUCAUCAGUUUAAAGUGAAAGUCUUUCUAAACCAUAAAGAAUGAUUGUUACUUUUAAAAUAUAUCUAAUGACAUGAACCUACAGUGAGACUCAUCAUUGGACAAAGUCACUUCUGUUCCUGUCUGUAAUAGGCCUAAUAUUUCUGAAUGACUCAGCUCCUAAAAAUUAGCCCAUCUCAAAAUCAGUGACCAAGAUUCUGAUCUUCUCAAAUUAUUUCACUCUUCAGUUGUAGUUUUUAUGCAUCUUUAAAUGGCCUUCCUAAUAUUUUCACCAUUUUUUAAGAAGUCUCUACUGAUACAUAUUUAAGCUACAAGGUAUAAGUAUAUUCUACCAACCGUGUCAAAAGAACUUACUGAUCUUUGCCAACCAAAGAUUAACAAAUGAAUGUACAAAUAUGUUGAAAUAAAAAUCUCUCGAUUC
Molecule: long non-coding RNA, 2607 nt
Organism: Gorilla gorilla gorilla (western lowland gorilla)
Lineage: Eukaryota; Metazoa; Chordata; Mammalia; Primates; Hominidae
Exons: 4
Source: RefSeq, a predicted model, not a curated record